CUUUGUGCCACGCAGAGGAGUGCUGUGACUCGGAGAGGCCAAAUCUGAGGAACAUCUGCAAGCUCUAAUGUGGUCAUCACGUCUUCUUCCAAAGUAGAAAAAGUUAAUGCUUCCAAUCCACCAGGCAUGAAGGAGGGAAUUAUUCUGCUGCAACUCAGGUUUUCAGCCUUCAUACUUUAUAGGAACACAGCAAAGCUUGGUGACUCUUCCUGACAGUGCUGCACUUUGAGGAGGUCCUCUAUCUCUUACCUGAGUGAAAGUAUCUUACAGAGCUGAUGGCACCAGUGACACAUCUGCAGGUGUCGGCCUUGCCUAGAACCGGAUUUCUGAUAAGAGCUGCGGAUCACCUCAGUGGAGGAGAGGUGUUUUCAGGACUGGACUUCAAUAGGGAAUAUUGACUCUUUUUUACCCAUAGCAGGCAAAAUAUGAACCAAAGCAUGGGACCUCAUAGGUUAUUUCACUUGGGAAACAAACAGAUGACACAAUAUGAUAUCUUAACCACAGUUUUGUAUUUUCAGCAAUGUGCAAAAUCCUGGUCCUUUCCUCCCCUUCUUCCCAUAGAGAAAUUAAGUCUC
Molecule: long non-coding RNA, 575 nt
Organism: Nothoprocta perdicaria
Lineage: Eukaryota; Metazoa; Chordata; Aves; Tinamiformes; Tinamidae
Exons: 4
Source: RefSeq, a predicted model, not a curated record